This is a non-coding RNA of Pelobates cultripes (western spadefoot toad), 602 nucleotides long. The record is from the annotation of a GenBank genome assembly. NCBI's taxonomy places the organism in Eukaryota, Metazoa, Chordata, Amphibia, Anura, Pelobatidae.
UUGUGCUCAGGUUUAGAACAUUUAUGCCUUGCUUCAGGCUAUGAUUGCACAGCGUGUAAACCACUAGUGUCUUGUCGUCAGCACAUUGUCUGAAGAAAUGCCAUGCCAGGGAACUCCUUGGAGCUGGCUUUAGUGUGCUCGGGUGCGGUGGGCAGUAGCAGGCAUACUGUCUAGGGGACAGCUGCUCCGCUUUUGCACCCUGCUCUAGGAGGAGGAGGUGGAUGUGGAGUAGGAGGUUGAGGAGGUGGUGACCAUGGCGGCGACGAUGCAUUCGGAUGUCUGCCCUAUCAACUUUCGAUGUUACUUUCUGCACCCACCAUGGUGACCACGGGUAACGGGGAAUCAGGGUUCGAUUCCGGAGAGGGAGCCUGAGAAAUGGCUACCACAUCCAAGGAAGGCAGCAGGCACACAAAUUACCCACUCCCGAUGCGGGAAGGUAGUGAUGAUAAAUAACAAUACUGCCCUGUAAUUGGAAUGAGUCCACUUUAAAUCAUUUAACGAGGAUCUAUUGGAGGACAAGUCUGGUGCAGAGCGACUGACCAAUGCGUGCUGCAGCUGAAACUCUGCUAUCACCUGCUGCUGCUCGCACAGUCUCUCCAGCA